AUUGAACGCUGGCGGCAGGCCUAACAAAUGCAAGUCGAACGAGAGGCGGACGGGUGAGUAAUGGCUGGGACACUGCCUGAUGGAGGGGGAUAACUACUGGACACGGUAGAUAAUACCGCAUACCAAAAGAUGUGCCGAGAUGGGAUUAGCUAGUUGGUGGGGUAACGGCUCACCAAGGCGACGAUCCCUAGCUGGUCUGAGAGGAUGACCAGCCACACUGGAACUGAGACACGGUCCAGACUCCUACGGGAGGCAGCAGUGGGGAAUAUUGCACAAUUGGCGAAAGCCUGAUGCAGCCAUGCCGCGUGUAUGAAGAAGGCCUUCGGGUUGUAAAGUACUUUCAGCGGGGAGGCGUUACCCGCAGAAGAAGCACCGGCUAACUCCGUGCCAGCAGCCGCGGUAAUUC
RNAcentral lists this ribosomal RNA (406 nucleotides) under uncultured bacterium. Its description in RNAcentral is "partial 16S ribosomal RNA". It matches the Rfam family "Bacterial small subunit ribosomal RNA", at positions 30 to 526 of the family's 1533-position model. The record is from RNAcentral.